This is a long non-coding RNA of Xenopus tropicalis (tropical clawed frog), 840 nucleotides long. RefSeq lists it as uncharacterized. The record is from RefSeq and is a predicted model, not a curated record. Lineage: Eukaryota; Metazoa; Chordata; Amphibia; Anura; Pipidae. The transcript has 2 exons.
GGGCACAGAAGGAAGGAAGGAGCUGACACAGGGAGAAUGGGUCAGACUGGGAAACGUACGCGGGUUGGUUAUGGGCUGCGGGAAGGAGGUGCUGGGGUCAUGAGGCAGCCUUUGCUCUGUCACACACAGCCGCACACAGCCACACGGGAGGCGACAUAUCAGACCAGGAUUGGCAACUAUGCGCCCCACCUCCUCGCCACAGUCCAACACUCCUUUCCCAACCUAAAGGAGGCGCGCCUCAUACCUGCUAGUCGGACACCUACUCACUGGGCCGCUGGCUUCCCUGCUGGAGAAAUUCACCUGACUUGACAGCCGCAGGGUCUGCCAGAUGCACCGUUUCCAAUCUACAAGCAUGGGAAUGGCCCGCAGGCAGGAAAGUGUUCAAUUGGCCUGGCUGGGACAUUUUGCUAAUUGCCGUUGAUUCUAAGGACCAAAGGAGUCAAAACUUUUGUUUUAAAUAAUGCCAUAUGAUUUCUUGUCUUGAUAUAGUAACAUACCAAGUCAGUGUAUUUACUGGGGAAACAAAUCCAACUUUAUCUUAAAACUUGACAACUAACCCAAAAUUUUUUGGCAUCCACUCAUUCAUACACGAGAUUGGGGGUUGAACAGAAGGCAUGGUGUGAUUGAAAAGGGCCAUUCUUUAACCAGUCUGCCAUAAACCACCCCUUAUAUAUUACCAGCAGCAUGCAGGACAGUCAGGUUGUGUUAAAUGAUCUUUCAAGUAGUUUCAUAUUUUAAUAUCAUUUCAGUUUUACAUGCAACAAACCUCACUGUAUAUCUGGUACAUUUUCUUCUGAUUUGGUAGGAUAUGCUUGGAUAAAAAUACAGAUGUUCAGCUAG